AGCAGCCGCGGUAAUUCCAGCUCCAAUAGCGUAUAUUAAAGUUGUUGCAGUUAAAAAGCUCGUAGUUGAAUUUCGGGAUCAGCAGGUCGGUCGUGCCAAUGGUAUGCACUGGCCUUGCUGAUUCCUCCCUCUUGAUGAGCCGUAAUGCCAUUAAUUUGGUGUUGCGGGGAAUCAGGACUGUUACUUUGAAAAAAUUGAGUGUUUAAAGCGGGCAAGCGCUUGAAUACAUUAGCAUGGAAUAAUGAAAUAGGACGUUUGAUCCUAUUUUGUUGGUUUCUAGGAUUGACGUAAUGAUUAAUAGGGAUAGUUGGGGCAUUAGUAUUCAAUUGUCAGAGGUGAAAUUCUUGGAUUUAUGAAGACUAACUACUGCGAAAGCAUUUGCCUAAGGAUUGUUUUCAUUAAUCAAGAACGAAAGUUAGGGAAUCGAAGACGAUCAGAUACCGUCGUAGUCUUAACCGAUAAACUAUGACCGACUAGGGAUCGGAUGUAUUAGUUAAUUUUUAAUCGACUCU
This 512-nucleotide ribosomal RNA is filed under the name uncultured Glomus. RNAcentral describes it as "SSU rRNA". It matches the Rfam family "Eukaryotic small subunit ribosomal RNA", at positions 569 to 1087 of the family's 1831-position model. The record is from RNAcentral. Lineage: Eukaryota; Fungi; Glomeromycota; Glomeromycetes; Glomerales; Glomeraceae.